UACGAAGGGGGCUAGCGUUGCUCGGAUUGGCUGGGCGUAAAGGGCGCGUAGGCGGUGCGGUAAGUCACCUGUGAAAACUCCCGGCUCAACUGGGAGCCUGCAGGCGAAACUGCCGUGCUGGAGUGUGGGAGAGGUGCGUGGAAUUCCCGGUGUAGUGGUGAAAUGCGUAGAUAUCGGGAGGAACACCAGUGGCGAAGGCGACUUCUUGGCCUGUUCUUGACGCUGAGGCGCGAAAGCUGGGGGAGCAAACGGG
This 253-nucleotide ribosomal RNA is filed under the name uncultured prokaryote. RNAcentral's name for it is "partial 16S ribosomal RNA". It matches the Rfam family "Bacterial small subunit ribosomal RNA", at positions 524 to 776 of the family's 1533-position model. The record is from RNAcentral.